Molecule: microRNA precursor, 168 nt
Filed under: Pelobates cultripes (western spadefoot toad)
Lineage: Eukaryota; Metazoa; Chordata; Amphibia; Anura; Pelobatidae
Source: RNAcentral
GCAGACACAUUCCAGCCAAUCAGCAGCAGACCCUCCCUCCCAGACCCUCCCACCUCCUGGACAGCAUCCAUUUUACAUCCAUUGUGAAGCUGCAUUCUUAGUGAGCUGUCCAGGAGGUGGGAGGGUCUGGGAGGGAGGGUCUGCUGCUGAUUGGCUGGAAUGUGUCUG